This 1152-nucleotide ribosomal RNA is filed under the name Chaetoceros neogracilis. Its description in RNAcentral is "partial Bacterial large subunit ribosomal RNA". It matches the Rfam family "Bacterial large subunit ribosomal RNA", at positions 1 to 1180 of the family's 2925-position model. Lineage: Eukaryota; Bacillariophyta; Thalassiosirophyceae; Chaetocerotales; Chaetocerotaceae. The record is from RNAcentral.
CGAAAAGGGCGUUUGGUGGAUGCCUUGGCAGUAAGAGGCGAUGAAAGACGUGAUACUCUGCGAUAAGCCAUGGGGAGCUGAGAAUAAGCUUUGAUCCAUGGAUUUCUGAAUGGGGCAACCCACCUGAAUGUUUGUUAUUGUUACCCUUUUGGGUGUCAAUAAUGAGCAUAAACAGGUACUUAUUACCUGAAUACAUAGGGUUUUAAGAGCAAACCCGGGGAACUGAAACAUCUAAGUACCCGGAGGAAAGGAAAUCAAUUAGAGACUCUGUUAGUAGCGGCGAGCGAACGCGGACCAGCCAAGCCUGAUAAGUGACCAGAAUGACCUGGAAAGGUCAGCCAUAGUGGGUGACAGCCCCGUAUGGGAAGCUUUGAAGGAUGUAUUAAGUAGGGCGGGACACGUGAAAUCCUGUUUGAAGAUCGGGGGACCACCCCCGAAGGCUAAGUACUCCUUACUGACCGAUAGCGAACCAGUACCGUGAGGGAAAGGUGAAAAGAACCCCGGGAGGGGAGUGAAAAGAACAUGAAACCGUAAACUUACAAGCAGUAGGAGGACGACUAAAACGUCUGACUUCGUGCCUGUUGAAGAAUGAGCCGGCGACUUAUAAGUAGUGGCAGGUUAAGGCAGUGAAUGCUGAAGCCACAGUGAAAGCGAGCCUGAAUAGGGCGUUUGUCACUAGUUAUAGACCCGAACCCGGGUGAUCUAACCAUGGUCAGGUUGAAGCUUAGGUAAUACUAAGUGGAGGACCGAACCGACUGAUGUUGAAAAAUCAGCGGAUGAAUUGUGGUUAGGGGUGAAAUGCCAAUCGAACUCGGAGCUAGCUGGUUCUCCCCGAAAUGUGUUUAGGCGCAGCGGUUGUGAUUAUAGUCUGGGGGUAAAGCACUGUUUCGGUGCGGGCGGCGAAAGCUGUACCAAAUCGAGACAAACUCAGAAUACCAGAUGCACACACAACCAGAUAGACGGUGGGGGAUAAGCUUCAUCGUCAAGAGGGAAACAGCCCAGACCACCAGCUAAGGUCCCCAAAUUGUCACUAAGUGAUAAAGGAGGUGGGAGUGCAAAGACAACCAGGAGGUUUGCCUAGAAGCAGCCAUCCUUAAAAGAGUGCGUAAUAGCUCACUGGUCAAGUGAUUUCGCGCCGACAAUGUAGCGGGG